RNAcentral lists this transfer RNA (683 nucleotides) under uncultured cyanobacterium. RNAcentral describes it as "partial 16S-23S intergenic spacer". The stretch from base 254 to 326 matches the Rfam family "tRNA". The record is from RNAcentral. Lineage: Bacteria; Bacillati; Cyanobacteriota.
AGACAAAAACUGAUUAUGAUGUCUGAAUUAAAUUUUUAGACCGUAAUCCUGUCACCUUAGGUCGAUCGGUACCUCAGAUUUAUAGUUAGAAGAAAGUGAGUAUUCAUUUUUUAAUUAGCUUCAAAUUUCAGUUCCUAAACUUGUCUAGGUCACACCCAACACUUUCUCCUGGGCUAUUAGCUCAGGCGGUUAGAGCGCACCCCUGAUAAGGGUGAGGUCCCUGGUUCAAGUCCAGGAUGGCCCAUUCGUUGUUGGGGGUAUAGCUCAGUUGGUAGAGCGCCUGCUUUGCAAGCAGGAUGUCAGCGGUUCGAGUCCGCUUACUUCCACUGAUCAACUACCUGAUAACUCAAUUUGGAGAUUGUCAUUUGGUUAAUGUGACUUAGAUGUUGUUCAUCUGAAUGAACCUAGCUUCCUAUCUUUUAUUGACUGAUAAGACGCUGGGCUCACUGUUACUUGAAAGAGUAUCAGUUUGAUUCAGUAGAACCUUGACAACUGCAUAGGAAAGUCUGGAAAAAUAAAGCAUCUCAUAGAUGCAUAAAAAGCUAUUUUCUGAUAUUUUCGAUAUCUAAAUAAUAGCUUUUAUGUUAAUUCUUGAGUUAGAGCAUAAUUUCUAUUGCUUAAUUAAUUCUUCUAGAACUAAUUAAGCUUCUAAAUAAAUUUAGAAAUUAAAUAGAGAUUUAAUU